GACGAACGCUGGCGGCGUGCUUAACACAUGCAAGUGGAGCGACGAACCCUUCGGGGGGCAAAGCCGCGAACAGGUGAGUAACACGUGGGUAACCUGCCCCGAUGACUGGGACAACCCGGGGAAACCCGGGCUAAUACCGGAUGAUGUGCACACACUUAAGUGUGCUCACUAAAGGUAGCUUCGGCUUCCGCAUUGGGAGGGGCCCGCGGCCCAUUAGCUUGUUGGUGAGGUAACGUCUCACCAAGGCAACGAUGGGUAGCUGGUCUGAGAGGACGAUCAGCCACACUGGGACUGAGACACGGCCCAGACUCCUACGGGAGGCAGCAGUGGGGAAUCUUGCGCAAUGCGCGAAAGCGUGACGCAGCAACGCCGCGUGAGGGAAGACGGCCUUCGGGUUGUAAACCUCUUUCAGUAGGGACGAAGGCCGGCCGGUGAAUAGCCGUGUCGGUUGACGGUACCUUCAGAAGAAGCUCCGGCUAACUACGUGCCAGCCGCCGCGGUAA
RNAcentral lists this ribosomal RNA (503 nucleotides) under uncultured bacterium. RNAcentral describes it as "partial 16S ribosomal RNA". It matches the Rfam family "Bacterial small subunit ribosomal RNA", at positions 28 to 523 of the family's 1533-position model. The record is from RNAcentral.